Molecule: ribosomal RNA, 1239 nt
Filed under: metagenome
Description: bacterial LSU rRNA
Rfam family: Bacterial large subunit ribosomal RNA
Source: RNAcentral
ACCAAGCGACCGCAAGGAAGCUGAAGUGAGUGUAGCCACGCUGACAAGAAAUAGGUUCUAAGCAUAUUUUUAUCAGACCGUACCGCAAACCGACACAGGUGGGCGGGAUGAGUAUUCUAAGGCGAUCGAGAUAACCACUGUUAAGGAACUCGGCAAAAUCACCCCGUAACUUCGGGAGAAGGGGUGCCUACUUCGGUAGGCUGCAAUAAAGAGGCCCAAGCGACUGUUUAGCAAAAACACAGGACUCUGCAAAUCCGAAAGGAGAAGUAUAGGGUCUGACACCUGCCCGGUGCCGGAAGGUUAAAAGGAGAUGUUAGCUUCGGCGAAGCAUUGAAUUGAAGCCCCGGUAAACGGUGCCGUAACAAUAACGGUCCUAAGGUAGCGAAAUUCCUUGUCGGGUAAGUUCCGACCCGCACGAAAGGCGUAAUGAUUUGGAUACUGUCUCGGAGAGAGGCUCGGUGAAAUAGACUUGUCUGUGAAGAUGCGGACUACCUGCACCAGGACAGAAAGACCCUAUGAAGCUUUACUGUAACUUGAAAUUGGAAUUGGACUUUGCUUGCGCAGUAUAGGUGGGAAGCGUUGAAAAUAUUCUUGCGGGAGUAUUGGAGCUAUCAGUGAGAUACCACUCUUGUAAUGUUAGAUUUCUAACUUUGAACCAUAAUCUGGUCAAAGAACAGUUUCAGGUGGGCAGUUUGACUGGGGCGGUCGCCUCCCAAAUGGUAACGGAGGCGUACAAAGGUUUCCUCUGAACGGAUAGAAAUCGUAUCUAGAGUGUAAAGGCAUAAGGAAGCUUGACUGUGAGACCUACAAGUCGAGCAGGGACGAAAGUCGGUCUUAGUGAUCUGACGGUACUGAGUGGAAAGGCCGUCACUCAACGGAUAAAAGUUACUCUAAGGAUAACAGGCUGAUCUCCCCCAAGAGUUCACAUCGACGGGGAGGUUUGGCACCUCGAUGUCGGCUCAUCGCAUCCUGGGGCGGUAGUACGUCCCAAGGGUUGGGCUGUUCGCCCAUGAAAGCGGUACGCGAGCUGGGUUCAGAACGUCGUGAGACAGUUCGGUCCAUAUCCGGUGUAGGCGCUAGAAUAUUGAGAGGAGCCUUCUUUAGUACGAGAGGACCGAGAAGGACACACCGCUGGUGUACCAGUUAUCGUGCCAACGGUAAACGCUGGGUAGCUAUGUGUGGAGUGGAUAACCGCUGAAAGCAUCUAAGUGGGAAGCCCACCUCGAGAUGAGUAUUCGC